AGGAUGAACGCUGGCGGCGUGCCUAACACAUGCAAGUCGAACGUCCUGUCUCGCAAGAGGCAGGGAGUGGCGGACGGGUGAGUACCACGUGGGUCAUCUACCGUGAGGUGAGGAAUACCGGCGAGAAAUCGCCGACAAGACCGCAUAGGCUCGAUGCAAGUCGAGCAAAGCUCUUUCGAGAGAGGGAGCGCCACACGAGGAGCCUGCGCCCGAUUAGCUAGCUGGUGGAGUAACGGUUCACCAGGGCGACGAUCGGUAGCUGGUCUGAGAGGACGAUCAGCCACACUGGGAUUGAGAACGGCCCAGACUCCUACGGGGGGCAGCAGUGAGGAAUUUUCGCAAUGGGGGCAACCCUGAACGAGCAACGCCGCGUGCAGGAGAAGGUUUUCGGAUCGUAAACUGCUUUUCUCGGGGAAGAGAACGGACGGUACCCGAGGAAUCAGCCCCGGCUAACUACGUGCCAGCAGCCGC
RNAcentral lists this ribosomal RNA (471 nucleotides) under uncultured bacterium. Its description in RNAcentral is "SSU rRNA". It matches the Rfam family "Bacterial small subunit ribosomal RNA", at positions 26 to 518 of the family's 1533-position model. The record is from RNAcentral.